GCAGUGGUAGUUCAGUGGUAGAAUUCUCGCCUUCCAUGCGGGAGACCUGGCUUGAUUCCCAGCCAGUGCA
Molecule: transfer RNA, 70 nt
Filed under: Loxodonta africana (African savanna elephant)
Lineage: Eukaryota; Metazoa; Chordata; Mammalia; Proboscidea; Elephantidae
Rfam family: tRNA
About the family: Transfer RNA (tRNA) molecules are approximately 80 nucleotides in length. Their secondary structure includes four short double-helical elements and three loops (D, anti-codon, and T loops).
Source: Rfam by way of RNAcentral